AAUUAGCAAGGACCACCUUGCAAGCCUCUGACGGGGCUCCUGACUGACCUAUAGUGAAGUAGUACCGUGAGGGAAGGGUGAAAAGAACCCCCAUCGGGGAGUGAAAUAGAAGAUGAAACCAUCAGUUUCCAAGUAGUGGGAGGAGACCAGGACUCUGACCGCGUACCUAUUGAAG
This 175-nucleotide non-coding RNA is filed under the name Cucumis melo (muskmelon). Its description in RNAcentral is "Bacterial large subunit ribosomal RNA". It matches the Rfam family "Bacterial large subunit ribosomal RNA", at positions 441 to 613 of the family's 2925-position model. The record is from Rfam by way of RNAcentral. Lineage: Eukaryota; Viridiplantae; Streptophyta; Magnoliopsida; Cucurbitales; Cucurbitaceae.